RNAcentral lists this RNase P RNA (385 nucleotides) under Flavihumibacter rivuli. RNAcentral describes it as "RNase P RNA component class A". It matches the Rfam family "Bacterial RNase P class A". From Rfam's summary of the family: Ribonuclease P (RNase P) is a ubiquitous endoribonuclease, found in archaea, bacteria and eukarya as well as chloroplasts and mitochondria. The record is from RNAcentral. Lineage: Bacteria; Pseudomonadati; Bacteroidota; Chitinophagia; Chitinophagales; Chitinophagaceae.
CAUUCCAUCCGUGCUAUCGCGGCGUGCAAACGUCGAGGAAAGUCCGGACAGCACAGGGCAAUGCACCGGCUAACGGCCGGGGGACGGAUAUCCGUUCACAGAGAGUGCCACAGAAAAUUACCGCCCGCCUUCGCUAAAGCUACGGCGGGUAAGGGUGAAAACGUAGGGUAAGAGCCUACGGUGCAGGCCAGUAAUGGUCGGCGCGGGUAAACCUUGCAUGCUGAAAUGCCAUGUAUACCGGUGGUCGAGGGCGGCUCGUCCGAUGAUGCCGAAAGGUGUCAACGCCGGAGGGUAGGCAGCUAGAUCCUGUCAGUAAUGGCAGGGCCAGAUAAAUGAUAGCAACCCCAAAAGGGUACGGAAUCCGGCUUACAGGAUGGAAUUUUUA